CUGGCUCAGAACGAACGCUGGCGGCAGGCUUAACACAUGCAAGUCGAACGCCCGUAGCAAUACGGGAGUGGCGGACGGGUGAGUAACGCGUGGGAACGUACCCUGAGGUACGGAAUAACCGAGGGAAACUUCGGCUAAUACCGUAUGAGCCCCGCAAGGGGGAAAGAUUUAUCGCCUUGGGAGCGGCCCGCGUCGGAUUAGCUAGUUGGUGGGGUAACGGCCUACCAAGGCUUCGAUCCGUAGCUGGUCUGAGAGGACGAUCAGCCACACUGGGACUGAGACACGGCCCAGACUCCUACGGGAGGCAGCAGUGGGGAAUCUUGCGCAAUGGGGGCAACCCUGACGCAGCCAUGCCGCGUGAACGAUGAAGGCCUUAGGGUUGUAAAGUUCUUUUACCCGUGACGAUGAUGACGGUAACGGGGGAAUAAGCUCCGGCUAACUUCGUGCCAGCAGCCGCGGUAAUACGAAGGGGGCUAGCGUUGUUCGGAAUUACUGGGCGUAAAGCGCGCGCAGGCGGUUCGAUAAGUUGGGGGUGAAAUCCCCGGGCUCAACCCGGGAAUGGCCUUCAAGACUGUCGAGCUAGAGGACGAGAGAGGUGAGUGGAAUUCCCAGUGUAGAGGUGAAAUUCGUAGAUAUUGGGAAGAACACCGGUGGCGAAGGCGGCUCACUGGCUCGUUUCUGACGCUGAGGCGCGAAAGCGUGGGGAGCAAACAGGAUUAGAUACCCUGGUAGUCCACGCCGUAAACGAUGAGUGCCAGGUGUCGGGGGACUUAGUCCUUCGGCGCCGCAGCUAACGCCUUAAGCACUCCGCCUGGGGAGUACGGCCGCAAGGUUAAAACUCAAGAGGAAUUGACUUAAGGGCGA
This 864-nucleotide ribosomal RNA is filed under the name uncultured bacterium. RNAcentral describes it as "bacterial SSU rRNA". It matches the Rfam family "Bacterial small subunit ribosomal RNA", at positions 19 to 924 of the family's 1533-position model. The record is from RNAcentral.